Molecule: ribosomal RNA, 460 nt
Filed under: NC10 bacterium enrichment culture clone CSTR 3-14
Lineage: Bacteria; Methylomirabilota (SeqCode)
Description: bacterial SSU rRNA
Rfam family: Bacterial small subunit ribosomal RNA
Source: RNAcentral
GGGCUUGACAUCCCACGAACCUGCCCGAAAAGGUGGGGUGCCCGCAAGGGAGCGUGGAGACAGGUGGUGCAUGGCUGUAGUCAGCUCGUGUCGUGAGAUGUUGGGUUAAGUCCCGCAACGAGCGCAACCCCCACCCCUAGUUGCCACCGGGUCAUGCCGAGCACUCAAGGGGAACUGCCAGCGUCAAGCUGGAGGAAGGCGGGGAUGACGUCAAGUCAUCAUGCCCCUUACGCCCUGGGCUACACACGUGCUACAAUGGCCGGUACAAAGGGAUGCGAGGCCGCGAGGUGGAGCUAAUCCCAAAAAGCUGGUCUAAGUUCAGAUUGCAGUCUGCAACUCGACUGCAUGAAGGAGGAAUCGCUAGUAAUCGCGCAUCAGCCCGGCGCGGUGAAUACGUUCCCGGGCCUUGUACACACCGCCCGUCACACCACGAAAGCUGUCUGUACUCGAAGUCGCUGAG